RNA transcript from Phragmites australis (common reed), 3136 nucleotides. RefSeq lists it as uncharacterized. The record is from RefSeq and is a predicted model, not a curated record. The transcript has 7 exons. Lineage: Eukaryota; Viridiplantae; Streptophyta; Magnoliopsida; Poales; Poaceae.
UCCUUAUCGUAGGAAUCUAUUUAGCCAUGGAGGAGAGAAGGGGAGAGAAGAGAGAGAAGAACCCACGCAGUCACAAAGAGGAGGUUGGGGAUUGGGAGAAGAACCGCAAGGAAACAGCGGGAGGGGGAAUCGCUCGAAGAAUGCCGUAUCUAUUCCCAGGUAAUCCGAAAAAGGUGAUCUUGCGUAAAUUUCCAACGAUCCGAUCGAUAUAGCCCGAUUGCUGAAAAUUCGAUCGGAGUUGGGGCUCGUCGGCGCCUGAUCGCGGCAUUGUGGCUGAUUUCUGGUCCACCGCCUCGAUCCAGAUCCGUGGACGGGACUGUGAUCUGAUCUAUUGGUUUGGUUCAUCCCAGGUUCCUUGUUGCUUGUUCAGGCUCCACGUUGUGCUUCAUCUCCAAUCGGCAGCGGCGGCAUCCGUACUAUUGAUGUGUGUGAAUCAGAAAUCUCAAUGCAGGUUUUAGGUUUAACCUUCUCGUGUUGAUUAAUGGGAUUGAUUUUUAUUGGAACAAUUUCUGGAGUUUUGGGGGACUGGAAGUAAGAAACUGAAAGCGAUCAUCGUAGCAUCUGAAUAAACAUAUUUUGGAAGUAAGAGCAAGUUCGUUUACAUUGAGUGAAGCAACCAUAUUGAGAUGGGUUUUCCUCAAGUUCCUGCAAUCAAGGAGGGCACACCUACUACAUUGAGUGAACCUGUCAUUAGUUCUCGUUUCAGUGGCAGUGGCGUCUGUGAUUUGGAUAAACUUCCAGCUGGAACCUCAAGAAGCAGGGUGCUUCCAUGCUCAUCCAUCUGUGAUAUUAAGAGAAAAGCUGCAUUGGAUGCUUUGAAUGGAUUUGAUAGCCAUUUCAGAAACAGUCAUGCCAUUGAUGGUCCUGCAGUUUUCCAAGGUCUUAGUCCUGAUUCGAGAGAUCCUAGUUGUAGAUCAUGCCCUAAAUUCGGACCUAAUGUCCAUAUACCUGCAAUGAGGAUCGUUGGAUUUGAUCCAGGUUUUGCUAGUUCCGUCAGAGGUUCUGAUAUGAUGGUAGUUGACAAGAUGCAUUCAUCUUUAGUCAUUGAUAACUGUGAUUCAUCAGUUGAACAGCAUGGACCUCAGGCAAGAAAAAGGGUGUUGUCACCAUUGAAAAGUUUGCUUCCUGCUGGACAGUUUCAUGGUGAUGCGCUGAAUAUUGGUUCCAGUGAUGCCGAAAAUCAGCACAAUCAUUGUGUUAGGCAGGUCUUUUCUUCUGAUUUGCAUGACAGUAAAAAGGCCAACACUGGAACUUUUGGUUCCUUUGAGUUGCCUACUUGGCCAGCAUUGAGAUACUUCAGUCGGAAUACAGAGCAGGGUGUCAGUAAGUUCAGCUCUAAUAUAUUCACCGAUGGCCCUUUCCUUGAGGGCAGGGAAUCCUUUUCUUGCUCAGAUAACCUAGGGGCUGAAGAAAUUAUGAAUCUUGCAAGGGUUUCUAUACCGCCUGCAAGAUUAUCACAUUCUCCUCCACUUACUUUGUCUCCUCUUGGUCCAAAAUGGAUGCAUGGAAUGAAGACUGCAAGGGCUCAUGGGGAUUUAAUAGGAGAAACUGAAAAUGGUUUCCCGGACUUGAAGGAAAUGGAAAGAUCAAAUGGUGAAGAUUAUUCAGAAUGUGGUGGGAGAAUAAGGAUGAGUCAUAUGUUAGAAAAAACUACUAUUUUUCAUGAUGUAUUUGAUACAAUGACCCCUAAGAGGAGUUUAGAUAGAAGAUAUCAAAAUUGGGGCCCAGAAUCUGCCCCUGUAUCUCCACGCAAUGGAUGUAUCAGGAGUUUGAGCCUUCUUCCUUUAAGGAGGUCACUAGUUGGCUCCUUUGAGGAGUCCCUCUUAUCUGGUCGAUAUUCAUGUGGAAAAGACAACCAGAUUAUUGACGGUUUUCUGGCUAUCCUUAAUGUGACUGGUGGUAACUUCUCUCCUCCAACUCAGAAGCUUCCAUUUACAGUAGCCAACAUUGAUGAAGAUAGCUCUUUGUUGUACUAUUCAUCGAUUGAUCUUGCUGGGAGGUUGCCUACAAACAAUAGCAAAAGCCCUAAACUCAAAAGAAGCCUCAAUAAUAAUGAUUCGCGGUCAGCGAAAAGUCGGUUACGCAUCCCUGUUAAAGGUCGCAUACAACUGGUGGUUAGUAACCCAGAGAAGACACCACUCCACACCUUCUUCUGUAGCUAUGAUUUGAGUGACAUGCCUGCUGGAACCAAGACUUUCAUGCGGCAAAAGAUUACUCUAUCCUCUGCUUCUCCCUCUAAUCUGACCAAAGGAAGCAUGGCCAACGACAUAAAGGUCGAGUCAGUUCAAUAUGGAAGUGAGCUUAGAGAACGUGGGACUCUAUUUUCAGAAUGCUGUGAACAGAGGCAGAAUUACUCAACCGAUGAGUCAGAAAAGGGAGGUUAUGCAAAUACGGCCUGUUGCUCAAUGGAAUGUGAUAUCAGAGAAUCAAAUGAAUUUACCACUCUAGGGAAUUCAGAAAAUGACACUAAUGCUGAUGGUUGCUGCUGUCAAAUAGACACAUGUAGAUUUGGUGACAAGAAAUCUUGCUGCAGAUCUUCCAAGGUCAAUGAUAGUUCAGCUGGAGGUGUUCUUCGUUAUGCUUUGCACCUGCGCUUUCUGAGGCCCUUUUCCAAGAAGUCGUCAAGAUCAAAGCAGCAGUGCAAAUCUGAUCUGUCAUCAGAACCUCACAAGCACAAUACUGAGACCGAGGAAGAGAGGAGAUUUUAUCUCUACAAUGAUAUUAGAGUUGUCUUCCCUCAAAGGCACUCAGACUCAGAUGAAGGAGAGGUAUGCGGCAAUUCAGAUACCUCCAGGCCGUCUACUUCUCUCUUCUAACACAGCUUUAGUUUUAAUUCUUUAUGCACAAGUGAGACUGAAUAAUUUCGACCUCUUACAUAGAAAGCACUCAAGGAUCCACAAAACUACUGACUGGGAUUAUAAAAUUAUAGGCUGUUAGCUGCGUGUUGAGCACGACUUCCCUGCAGAUCCCAAGUACUUCGACAUAAGCAACUAAUACCUCCUUGCAAACUCCCAUGUGUAGCUGCACAUGAAUCUGUACAUAUCAUACUAACUUCCUUAAUUGUUUCUUCUUUCUAUUGUCAUUCUCCAGAUGUACAGUACUAACCUUCCAAUGAAAUACCUCAUUUUUCAUUCUA